CAUGUGAAAGAGUUUUGAUGAAAUGCUGUUGGAUUCUGAUCAGUUUUGUGCAUCUAAGUGCUGUUACAAUGAAACUGCAUUCUUGAAAUGAGGCAUUUAAAACCACAAAUGUGAGGAAAAUGCUGUGUUUUUGUUGCAGUUUGUGUCCACUUCCAGGUGAACUGAGCCCCCUGAUGUCAGCGUGAUGGAUUGGAGGCCGUCGGUUCUUCAGCUGGAGCUCCCCCUGGUGGAACCCUGCAGCACCAAGAGGACGUCUGGGAGGGCCAGUCCCACGAGUUUCCACAGAAGAAGGAAAAGAAGAGCUGAGGGCGUCAGAGUCUGGAGUUACAGGGCAGAGGACGGAACGCCACCUCAAUGUUCUCCUCCAUGAUGAUGUCAAAGCGACACAUCAGAGGCCUGGAGGAGGGAAAGGAGAUUUGUUAAGACUUUACUGUAAAUAUUAAGAUGUAAAGCUUGAAUGCUCAGUUUGACCCUCUGCAUAUUUAUUUACUCAGUAUUUAAUCAAACAAGUGGCCUACACUGUAAAGCAAAGUUUUCUCUUUCAAGAAUUUGGAUUUGAUCUCGUGAAAUUACAGAUAAUAUUUGUAAAAGUCACGAAAAAAGUAAUCAUUUAAUAAUAUAAUAAAAUAAAAUUAUUGUUUUUACAGUUUUUAUUGUAACAGUAUUCAACUAUUUUCUAACAUUUUCUUUUUGUGUCACCUCUUGUUUUAUCUUAGUUUAUUCUAUUUGGCCUGAUCUUAGCUUAGCUCUUUUUUUUGUAUUUUUUUAGUGUUGACUAUUUAUGUGCAUUUAAUUGUUGUUUUUAUUCAUGCUGUGAAGCACUUUGUGGCUCUCUGUCUGUGAAAGGUGCUAUAUAAAUAAAAUUUACUUACUAGCUUA
Long non-coding RNA from Acanthochromis polyacanthus (spiny chromis), 879 nucleotides. RefSeq lists it as uncharacterized. The transcript is spliced from 2 exons. NCBI's taxonomy places the organism in Eukaryota, Metazoa, Chordata, Actinopteri, Pomacentridae. The record is from RefSeq and is a predicted model, not a curated record.